Long non-coding RNA from Morus notabilis, 804 nucleotides. RefSeq lists it as uncharacterized. The transcript has 3 exons. Lineage: Eukaryota; Viridiplantae; Streptophyta; Magnoliopsida; Rosales; Moraceae. The record is from RefSeq and is a predicted model, not a curated record.
UUUUUGCCCCUUUUCUCUGGAAGAUCUUAAUAUAUAUAUAUAUAUAUAUAUAGUUUACCUUUUUUGUAUUACUAGGGAGAGGAAAAAGUUAAUUGUUUUCUAGAAUAGCUAAUUAAUUGUUUUCUCCAGGAUAACAUAAGGGCAUUAUUUAGUGCGUAGAUUUGAUUGUAGAGGGGACCAAUUUCUUUCAUCGUCACUGACCUAGGUUGAGAUCAGGACCACAUAAGAUUGACCACUGUUUUUGCAUCUUGAUUCCCCUGAGUUGUCACUGUCAACAUCUGGUUUAUUCUCUCCUCUCUCUCCUUAGAUAUAUAGUUGAUCUUCUUCAUCUUCUAUUUUUUGCCCCUUUUCUCUGGAAGAUCUUAAUAUAUAUAUAUAUAUUUUAAUGUUAAACAAGACUAUACGCAUGGUUGCUUGUAGAGCCCUGCAAGGACUUUAAACGAAUCAAUCUCCCUUAGAAACAGAUUCCUUGGCUAUCUUAAACGGAGAGGUAGGACAAGUUACAAGCCAAUAAAAGAGAUCACAGAUAGGGGAUUGGCCCCCAUUUCAUGAUAAGGAAGCUACUAGUCCUUUUCCAGGUGAUUUGAUUACAAACUGAAUAGCUAAAGGAAAUCUCAAGGAAACACGUACAAUGUCCAAAAUGAUGUCUCCAGCAACCUCAUGAUCUUAGGAUCUUUAUGUCCUUUUCUUCUUCCGGGCAGUUAAAUAAAUCUUAUGUGUUGUUUUCUCAUAUCACGUGAUUUAUUCUUACUUGCUCUUUAGAUAGAAAACGGUUGUCGUGUUUGGAAUUGUUCUUGUUUUUGU